Molecule: ribosomal RNA, 253 nt
Filed under: uncultured bacterium
Lineage: Bacteria
Description: partial 16S ribosomal RNA
Rfam family: Bacterial small subunit ribosomal RNA
Source: RNAcentral
UACGUAGGUGGCAAGCGUUGUCCGGAAUUAUUGGGCGUAAAGCGCGCGCAGGCGGUCUUUUAAGUCUGAUGUGAAAUCUUGCGGCUCAACCGCAAGCGGCCAUUGGAAACUGGGAGACUUGAGUGCAGAAGAGAAGAGCGGAAUUCCACGUGUAGCGGUGAAAUGCGUAGAGAUGUGGAGGAACACCAGUGGCGAAGGCGGCUCUUUGGUCUGUAACUGACGCUGAGGCGCGAAAGCGUGGGGAGCGAACAGG